This 1080-nucleotide ribosomal RNA is filed under the name Bacillus sp. SSKSD10. RNAcentral describes it as "bacterial SSU rRNA". It matches the Rfam family "Bacterial small subunit ribosomal RNA", at positions 87 to 1220 of the family's 1533-position model. The record is from RNAcentral. Lineage: Bacteria; Bacillati; Bacillota; Bacilli; Caryophanales; Bacillaceae.
CUGAUUUAGCGGCGGACGGGUGAGUAACACGUGGGUAAUCUGCCUGUAAGACGGCGAUAACUCCGGGAAACCGGGGCUAAUACCGGAUAAUAAGAGAAGAAGCAUUUCUUCUUUUUGAAAGUCGGUUUCGGCUGACACUUACAGAUGAGCCCGCGGCGCAUUAGCUAGUUGGUGAGGUAACGGCUCACCAAGGCGACGAUGCGUAGCCAACCUGAGAGGGUGCUCGCCCUAACUGGGACUGAGACACGCCCCACACUAAUACGGGAGGCAGCAGUAGGGAAUCUUCGGCAAUGGGCGAAAGCCUGACCGAGCAACGCCGCGUGAGCGAUGAAGGCCUUCGGGUCGUAAAGCUCUGUUGUUAGAGAAGAACAAGUACGAGAGUAACUGCUCGUACCUUGACGGUACCUAACCAGAAAGCCACGGCUAACUACGUGCCAGCAGCCGCGGUAAUACGUAGGUGGCAAGCGUUAUCCGGAAUUAUUGGGCGUAAAGCGCGCGCAGGCGGUCUCUUAAGUCUGAUGUGAAAGCCCACGGCUCAACCGUGGAGGGUCAUUGGAAACUGGGAGACUUGAGUGCAGGAGAGAAAGUGGAAUUCCACGUGUAGCGGUGAAAUGCGUAGAGAUGUGGAGAACACCAGUGGCGAAGGGGCUUUUUGGCCUGUUACUGACGCUGAGGCGCGAAAGCGUGGGGAGCAAACAGGAUUAGAUACCCUGGUAGUCCACGCCGUAAACGAUGAGUGCUAGGUGUGGGGGGUUCCACCCUCAGUGCUGAAGUAAAUAAUUAAGCACUCGCCUGGGGAGUAGAACGCAGGUUGAACUCAAGGAUUGACGGGGCCCGCACAGCAGUGAGCAUGUGUUUAUUCGAAGCACGCAAGAACUUACAGGUUUGACAUCUUUGACACUCUAAAAUAGAGUUUCCCUUCGGGGAAAAAUGACAGGGGGGCAUGUUUUCGUCGCUCAGUCGGAGAUGUGGUUAAGUCCGAACGAGCAACCUUGACUUAGUGCAGCUUCAGUGGCCUCUAAGGGAUGCGGGAAAACGGAGAAGGGGGAUGAGUCAAUAUCAGGCCUUAGACCGGGCACA